UCUUUUUUUAAACACAUAUUAAACCAUUUUAGAAACGGCUGGCGAAUUAUUUUAAUUAUUUUCGACUAUCGAGACUUGCAGUUUGAAAAAUUAAAGACGUCGUGAAGAAAAUACUUGUAUUAUUGAAGAAAAACAUUUCGCAACAGUGAAUAUUCUAGAAUAAAUAUAGCAUUAGAGAAAUUUUUCUAUCGCGAGUCAAUAAUUUAAGAAGAAAACUGCUAGAACUUAUAAAAUUUAAAAGCACUUCCCGACUAUAUAGUCUGGUUCUAGGAAACCUAAAAAUUUCUAGGUCAUCUUUAAGGCGUUGAGCAACAAGCAGCUGGUGGAGAUAACUCUCAGAGUGCUGUUGAUGUUUCACCUCGACGAUACGAACCAGGUGCAAAGGUUUUUCGAGUCGACGAAGAGAACCGAUACAUAAAACGUUUCUGCCUAAUCGGCAUUCUUGACUAACAGGAUUUCCUAUUAGGAAUUUCGAUAAACAGAAACCAUCUUCGGUUACAAGUGCAGACUGACCCUAAAUAGUCUGAUUCAAUUUUUCCUUGUACAGUCGACGGCAUCAGAUAUUAUUAUUAUUAUUGAUGUCAAUCUAGAGUUCCAUGAAUAAGAAACACUCUUCGAUUUGUAACACGUGUCCAAUAUUCUUCUUUAUUUUUUCAGAAAAAAUUCUUAGAUUAAUUUGUGAAGUUUUUUUUUUUUAUCUUUAUGUCGAUUUUUAAUCGAAACGACUAAAACUAUUAGAGAGUUCUUAUUUUUAUUUUCUUUUAUCGUUUAUUGAGAUUAAUUGGGAGGAAAGAUUUCGCGAAUUCUUUUCCGCUUAGACCUACAAAACAUUUUUGUUUUUCCUUUACUUUUUUUUUUAUAUUCUGUCUGCUACAACAAACAUAAACACACUAUCUCGAUUCUCCGUAAUAGUCUUCUUCAUAUUGGCUACUUUUUGUAACAAGUUUUCUUCCAUUUUUCAGACAUCGCGACUCCUUUAAUCAAAAAAGUUCAUUCCGAACCAUAUUUAUGCAUUUAAACUAACAGAAAAAAAAAGAGAGAAAAAUCGUCUUCUCGCAUCGGAAUUUACGUUUUAAAAACAUCUUUUAGCUACGAUUUAACUCUUUCUUUUUUAUUCUUUUAAUCGUUUAAUUUCGGUGAAAGAAUAUUUAUCCAGCAGGAAAAUUAAUCAUCGAGUAAUUUAUUCCUUAAAUUUAAUUGUUAAUUUUGGUUUUAAAACUUAAUAAUUAAGCCCGAACCAUUAUUGUCAUCAUAACGAAGAAAGGAUGUAAAUUCAAAGAUUUAUAUUCAUUAGUCAUAACUUUUAAUAAAAUUUAUAAUGCGGGGUGUAAUUAUAGAAGAGAAAAAAGUAUACUGCCAUCUGUCAGUGGAUUGUUGAAUUAAUUUCGAACGCAUUCUACAUUACUUAUUAUUCUUUAGAAAGAAAGAAAGAGAAAAAAAUAAAUUCUGUAAAUGUUUCCUCGUUAAUUUAUUUAUAAACGAGUAAAAAUUGUUUACGGGGCUUUUGUUACGAUUUUCUGAAGUCUGGUUUAGUAAAUUUUUCAACCCUUUCAAGUUUAUGAUGCGACCAACUAGACUGAUGUCAUUCCUUUAAUAAAUUUAUAUACAAAUGACUAGUUAACCGCUCUGGCUUUACUGAAUGAGCAACUCUUCUUGGUAUUGUUGCGUGGAACGAUUGAUAAGCUUUUAUGAUGUGAAAAAUUUUAAAUAUUUCUUUUUUUUGGCAUGGUAGAAAUAUUUGUUAAACUCGAACUAUUUAAGAGAGAGAGAGAAGCUGUGAAGUGUAUGUGUGUGUGUGUGUGUGUGGUCCUCGAACAGCGCCGUUUCGUCGUCUCGAUCCUUACACAAUUGUUUAAUAGAUUGUUAAAUUUAAUAUUAAUAGAAAGAAAAAGGAAAAUCGAGGUCGUUUUACUCAUUUUAAACAGGCUCUGACAGACAUUAAAAGCGAUCCCACUCAUUCCAGUACGAACGAACUUCUGGCAUAUGUCGACUUUAAAAAUUCGGUUAAUGCGUAUUUUUUAAAAAAUAUUCAUGUAUAAAUAUUUCUUUUAAAUAAACAGUAAAUCCAGACAACUUCCUCUACUGGAAACCGAACGAUUUAAUCUUAAAAAACGAACUGGACAUACAAAUGUAGCACAUAUAGGUGAUAUACAAUAAUGGUAUCACGUUUACGGUAACAUUUCGAAGAAUACUGUUUACUUUGAAAGCAAUCCAGAAGAGAUGGAUGCGAUUUGAUGUUAUUUAUUACCUAAGGUAUAAACAGAAUCUUCCCUUUGGUAUACGAGCCUUUAAUGCAUGACGCAUCGAAGGAUGCAGGCCAAAACCAACAGUAGACCUAUUUUCUUACCAUGCUAAUGGUCACUGGUUUAGACGGAUAGAAACUGCAAAAAAAAAAAAAAAAAAAUUAAAAACCGACAAAGCGAUAGAUA
Molecule: long non-coding RNA, 2429 nt
Filed under: Androctonus crassicauda
Lineage: Eukaryota; Metazoa; Arthropoda; Arachnida; Scorpiones; Buthidae
Source: RNAcentral